AAUAGAUACCCUGGUAGUCCACGCCGUAAACGAUGUCGACUUGGAGGUUGUUCCCUUGAGGAGUGGCUUCCGGAGCUAACGCGUUAAGUCGACCGCCUGGGGAGUACGGCCGCAAGGUUAAAACUCAAAUGAAUUGACGGGGGCCCGCACAAGCGGUGGAGCAUGUGGUUUAAUUCGAUGCAACGCGAAGAACCUUACCUACUCUUGACAUCCAGAGAACUUAGCAGAGAUGCUUUGGUGCCUUCGGGAACUCUGAGACAGGUGCUGCAUGGCUGUCGUCAGCUCGUGUUGUGAAAUGUUGGGUUAAGUCCCGCAACGAGCGCAACCCUUAUCCUUUGUUGCCAGCGGUUAGGCCGGGAACUCAAAGGAGACUGCCAGUGAUAAACUGGAGGAAGGUGGGGAUAACGUCAAGUCAUCAUGGCCCUUACGAGUAGGGCUACACACGUGCUACAAUGGCGCAUACAAAGAGAAGCGACCUCGCGAGAGCAAGCGGACCUCAUAAAGUGCGUCGUAGUCCGGAUUGGAGU
RNAcentral lists this ribosomal RNA (527 nucleotides) under uncultured bacterium. RNAcentral describes it as "bacterial SSU rRNA". It matches the Rfam family "Bacterial small subunit ribosomal RNA", at positions 777 to 1304 of the family's 1533-position model. The record is from RNAcentral.